GGGUCGGUAGCUCAGCGGUAGAGCACCGCACUUUUAAUGCGAUGGUCCUGGGUUCGAGUCCCAGCCGACCCA
RNAcentral lists this transfer RNA (72 nucleotides) under Armatimonadota bacterium. RNAcentral describes it as "Armatimonadetes bacterium (rhizosphere metagenome) tRNA-Lys". It matches the Rfam family "tRNA". From Rfam's summary of the family: Transfer RNA (tRNA) molecules are approximately 80 nucleotides in length. The record is from RNAcentral. Lineage: Bacteria; Bacillati; Armatimonadota.